GACGAACGCUGGCGGCGUGCCUAAUACAUGCAAGUAGAACGCACAGUUUAUACCGUAGCUUGCUACACCAUAAACUGUGAGUUGCGAACGGGUGAGUAACGCGUAGGUAACCUGCCUGGUAGCGGGGGAUAACUAUUGGAAACGAUAGCUAAUACCGCAUAAUAUUAAUUAUUGCAUGAUAAUUGAUUGAAAGAUGCAAUUGCAUCACUACCAGAUGGACCUGCGUUGUAUUAGCUAGUAGGUGAGGUAACGGCUCACCUAGGCGACGAUACAUAGCCGACCUGAGAGGGUGAUCGGCCACACUGGGACUGAGACACGGCCCAGACUCCUACGGGAGGCAACAGUAGGGAAUCUUCGGCAAUGGACGAAAGUCUGACCGAGCAACGCCGCGUGAGUGAAGAAGGUUUUCGGAUCGUAAAGCUCUGUUGUAAGAGAAGAACGGGUGUGAGAGUGGAAAGUUCACACUGUGACGGUAUCUUACCAGAAAGAGACGGCUAACUACGUG
Molecule: ribosomal RNA, 505 nt
Filed under: uncultured bacterium
Lineage: Bacteria
Description: partial 16S ribosomal RNA
Rfam family: Bacterial small subunit ribosomal RNA
Source: RNAcentral